This 440-nucleotide ribosomal RNA is filed under the name uncultured bacterium. RNAcentral describes it as "partial 16S ribosomal RNA". It matches the Rfam family "Bacterial small subunit ribosomal RNA", at positions 338 to 795 of the family's 1533-position model. The record is from RNAcentral.
CCUACGGGAGGCAGCAGUGGGGGAUAUUGCACAAUGGGGGAAACCCUGAUGCAGCGACGCCGCGUGUAGGAAGACGGUCCUCUGGAUUGUAAACUACUUUCCCCAGGGACGAAGAUGACGGUACCGGGGGAGGAAGCUCCGGCUAAAUCCGUGCCAGCAGCCGCGGUAAUACGUAGGGGGCGAGGGUUGUCCGGAAUUAGUGGGUGUAAAGGGAGCGUAGGCGGGGAUGCAAGUUGGGUGUUAAAUCUACCGGCUAAACUGGAAGUCGAAAGCAAAACUGCAGAUCUUGAGUAAAGUAGAGGCAGGCGGAAUUCCUAGUGUAGCGGUGAAAUGCGUAGAUAUUAGGAGGAACACCAGUGGCGAAGGCGGCCUGCUGGGCUUUUACUGACGCUGAGGCUCGAAAGUGUGGGGAGCAAACAGGAUUAGAUACCCCAGUAGUC